Molecule: long non-coding RNA, 1803 nt
Filed under: Podarcis muralis (Common wall lizard)
Lineage: Eukaryota; Metazoa; Chordata; Lepidosauria; Squamata; Lacertidae
Description: lncRNA (ENSPMRG00000014029.1)
Source: RNAcentral
AUGCAGACCUCCUUAGAGAGGAUAACAGAGGCCCACCUUACCUUAUCUUAUGAUAUCAACAAAUUCCCUUCGCUGGGAGGGGAAGCGUCAAGAAAGAGCCUGAUUUCAAGGCCUUCUCCAGGGGGUGGGGGGUCCGUGAGCAAACCUGAGGCGGGAGAACAGUAUCCCUCCGGAAGGGCUUUCUUCAAGGGGAGGUGCCCGUUCUGGCUGAAGAGGAAAGGGGCCGCCAAUCCGCCUCAGGUGGCCCCCAAGAGCCGCCUCUGCAUGGAGGCCACUCACGAGAGCCCCAUCCAGGCCGUCCGGAAGCCGGCCACGCGGGAAGAUGCCCAAGGGCCGGACUCUGACGAGGAAUCUGUGCGAGGGAAAACAGGCACCUCUCUCCUCAGGAAACUCCUGUGCCUGAAAACGCCCAGCGGCCCAGAGGCAUCACCGGCCCAGAGGGCGAGAGUCCGGUGCGGGCCUGUGGCCGCUCUCAGCAGAACCGCCGACCCACACGGGGAGUCUCCUCUGAAGUGGAAGCCCAGGGCUAAGGCCCCGAUCCCAGCAGAGGCCAGCUCCAUCGCAGAGACGGCGGCGGCCGAUCCGGUGGACAGGCUUGUUGGCUGGUGGGUGACGAAGCCAUGGAGAGCUUUCAGGGCCAUGCUGAGAUCCAGAGCCAAGAAAAGGUCGGUUCUCCCAGAGAGCAAGAGAAGUCCCAAGGUGGUGGAAGAACGGGAUAUUCGCCUCGCUACAGAGCCUGAAACCUCGCCCAUCGCCAGGGUGGACGGAUCCCCCCGUUUUUCGGCCACGGAGGACAAAACUCUUGCAUCCGACAUGGGUGAAACUCAAGAGGAGGAUGAAGGCGAGCACCUGAGUUCCAGGUGUGGGCUGGAGAUCCAUGGGCGGGCAGAGGACGAUAUUUCGGACCCCGCGACUGAACGGGAAGUGGACGAGCUCUGCACUUUCUUGAGCGAGGGAAGGCGGCUUCGGGAAGAGAGUCGAGGCCUCAGGGGCGUUUUCGAGUGGAGAGGAACUUGCCACCUUCCUGGGGGGGACGGAGUAGAGGCGGAAGACGUCGCAGACCAGGCCCCUGAGCUGGGAGACUACAGGUACUGGGCUGGGGCGUCGGACGGAGAGGAACAGGCUCUCGCCGAUCUCGCCGAAAACCCAGGCGGGCAGGGCAUGCUGAUGGCGACGAGAGAUCUGGGCUGGCUAAACAGUGAGUUGCUGGCAAGCCCAGUGCUUGUGCCAAAGGAAAAGCGGGGAAGGGAGGUUUCCGCCACAAGCAAUCCCGAAAGCAGAGAGAAUGGGCGUGUGGCAGGCGCCAGCAGAGAGACCCAACACAUCCACCAGGAAGUGCUGCAUCUUAGCAGCGGCUUGGAUCCUCCGCCAGCCUCGCCACCUGGCAGAAGCGAUCCUCUGGAAGCAGACCCUUAUGACGCUCCCAAGGCCCACAUCGUGGAGGAAGAAAGAGCGCCAUCUCCUGACUUCCCACAGACCCUGCUGACCCUGCUGGAGCCACCUCCCUCCUUUCCAUCCGGAGGCCAAGGCCUUCAGGAGGGGCCACCCCCAUUAAGGCCCUGCCAGGCUCUUGCCGAGGACGGAGGAAGGGAAGUUUGCCAAAGGAGAGGGAGCUCCGGGCGGAAACUGCCAUCGCCCACGGAGGAAACCGCGGCAGAGCCGGGAGAGGAGGACGACAAGCAGCGGCUCUACCAGGCUGCGGUGGAGAUUGUGGGCGCUGCCAUCGACGCCGCAGCAGAGCAGCUGGCAAAGGCGGCCGAGCGGGAGCAAGGGGAGCUGGGGUCCAGGAGAGAAGUUCCUUGA